AAGUCGAGCGAAUGGAUUAAGAGCUUGCUCUUAUGAAGUUAGCGGCGGACGGGUGAGUAACACGUGGGUAACCUGCCCAUAAGACUGGGAUAACUCCGGGAAACCGGGGCUAAUACCGGAUAACAUUUUGAACCGCAUGGUUCGAAAUUGAAAGGCGGCUUCGGCUGUCACUUAUGGAUGGACCCGCGUCGCAUUAGCUAGUUGGUGAGGUAACGGCUCACCAAGGCAACGAUGCGUAGCCGACCUGAGAGGGUGAUCGGCCACACUGGGACCGAGACACGGCCCAGACUCCUACGGGAGGCAGCAGUAGGGAAUCUUCCGCAAUGGACGAAAGUCUGACGGAGCAACGCCGCGUGAGUGAUGAAGGCUUUCGGGUCGUAAAACUCUGUUGUUAGGGAAGAACAAGUGCUACUUGAAUAAGCUGGCACCUUGACGGUACCUAACCAGAAAGCCACGGCUAACUACGUGCCAGCAGCCGCGGUAAUACGUAGGUGGCAAGCGUUAUCCGGACUUAUUGGGCGUAAAGCGCGCGCAGGUGGUUUCUUAAGUCUUAUGUGAAAGCCCACGGCUCAACCGUGGAA
RNAcentral lists this ribosomal RNA (581 nucleotides) under Bacillus subtilis. RNAcentral's name for it is "bacterial SSU rRNA". It matches the Rfam family "Bacterial small subunit ribosomal RNA", at positions 59 to 620 of the family's 1533-position model. The record is from RNAcentral. Lineage: Bacteria; Bacillati; Bacillota; Bacilli; Caryophanales; Bacillaceae.